RNAcentral lists this ribosomal RNA (492 nucleotides) under uncultured bacterium. RNAcentral's name for it is "partial 16S ribosomal RNA". It matches the Rfam family "Bacterial small subunit ribosomal RNA", at positions 30 to 507 of the family's 1533-position model. The record is from RNAcentral.
AUUGAACGCUGGCGGUAGGCCUAACACAUGCAAGUCGAACGGCAGCACAGUAAGAGCUUGCUCUUACGGGUGGCGAGUGGCGGACGGGUGAGGAAUACAUCGGAAUCUACUUUUUCGUGGGGGAUAACGUAGGGAAACUUACGCUAAUACCGCAUACGACCUACGGGUGAAAGCAGGGGAUCUUCGGACCUUGCGCGAUUGAAUGAGCCGAUGUCGGGUUAGCUAGUUGGCGGGGUAAAGGCCCACCAAGGCGACGAUCCGUAGCUGGUCUGAGAGGAUGAUCAGCCACACUGGAACUGAGACACGGUCCAGACUCCUACGGGAGGCAGCAGUGGGGAAUAUUGGACAAUGGGCGCAAGCCUGAUCCAGCCAUACCGCGUGGGUGAAGAAGGCCUUCGGGUUGUAAAGCCAUUUUGUUGGGAAAGAAAAGCAGCAGGUUAAUACCCCGCUGUUCUGACGGUACCCAAAGAAUAAGCACCGGCUAACUUCGUG